GGGGGGUCAAAAGCGCUCGAAAUCGUAGAGGGGGAAGCGGACCUGACCGACGAGACCUCGUCGUCGCUCGCGCUCGACCCACGCUUCGUCGCGGAGUUCCGGAGGGCUCGCCCCCCGGAGCCGCGGCGCGGCGGGGUCGGGAGGCGCUCGGCGGCGGGGCCGCUUGCGCGGGACCGGCGUCGCGCCGAACGAGAGGUCGCCUCGGCUCGCCCCGAAAGGACGCGCCGGGGGGCCGCCCGGAGGCGCGGCGUCGGCCCGAGGGAGAAGGAGAUCGCAUCGCGGGGCAACGGGUCGAACCCGAGGGGCCCGUCGCCGUUCCCGAGCCGCGAGGCUCGGGGCGGAGGCGGGCUCCCCGGCGAGGCUCGACCCCAGGUUUUCGAAUGGCGUAGGCGAGACGGUCCCGUCCGACCCGUCUCGUAACACGGACCAAGGAGUCUAAACGCGCGCGCGAGCGAGAGGGCGAGAGGCCCAUCCGCGCAACGAAAGCGAAUGGCGGGACGCUCU
Molecule: ribosomal RNA, 504 nt
Filed under: uncultured eukaryote
Lineage: Eukaryota
Description: partial 28S ribosomal RNA
Source: RNAcentral